Molecule: ribosomal RNA, 835 nt
Filed under: Escherichia coli
Lineage: Bacteria; Pseudomonadati; Pseudomonadota; Gammaproteobacteria; Enterobacterales; Enterobacteriaceae
Description: partial 23S ribosomal RNA
Rfam family: Bacterial large subunit ribosomal RNA
Source: RNAcentral
CGUGCGAUACAGGGUGACAGCCCCGUACACAAAAAUGCACAUAUUGUGAGCUCGAUGAGUAGGGCGGGACACGUGGUAUCCUGUCUGAAUAUGGGGGGACCAUCCUCCAAGGCUAAAUACUCCUGACUGACCGAUAGUGAACCAGUACCGUGAGGGAAAGGCGAAAAGAACCCCGGCGAGGGGAGUGAAAAAGAACCUGAAACCGUGUACGUACAAGCAGUGGGAGCCUCUUAAUGGGGUGACUGCGUACCUUUUGUAUAAUGGGUCAGCGACUUAUAUUCUGUAGCAAGGUUAACCGAAUAGGGGAGCCGAAGGGAAACCGAGUCUUAACUGGGCGUUAAGUUGCAGGGUAUAGACCCGAAACCCGGUGAUCUAGCCAUGGGCAGGUUGAAGGUUGGGUAACACUAACUGGAGGACCGAACCGACUAAUGUUGAAAAAUUAGCGGAUGACUUGUGGCUGGGGGUGAAAGGCCAAUCAAACCGGGAGAUAGCUGGUUCUCCCCGAAAGCUAUUUAGGUAGCGCCUCGUGAAUUCAUCUCCGGGGGUAGAGCACUGUUUCGGCAAGGGGGUCAUCCCGACUUACCAACCCGAUGCAAACUGCGAAUACCGGAGAAUGUUAUCACGGGAGACACACGGCGGGUGCUAACGUCCGUCGUGAAGAGGGAAACAACCCAGACCGCCAGCUAAGGUCCCAAAGUCAUGGUUAAGUGGGAAACGAUGUGGGAAGGCCCAGACAGCCAGGAUGUUGGCUUAGAAGCAGCCAUCAUUUAAAGAAAGCGUAAUAGCUCACUGGUCGAGUCGGCCUGCGCGGAAGAUGUAACGGGGCUAAACCAUG